UAUCCUUGCAGGGGAAAAGCUGGCCAUCC
RNAcentral lists this non-coding RNA (29 nucleotides) under Homo sapiens (human). Lineage: Eukaryota; Metazoa; Chordata; Mammalia; Primates; Hominidae. The record is from RNAcentral.